RNAcentral lists this ribosomal RNA (380 nucleotides) under uncultured eukaryote. Its description in RNAcentral is "partial 18S ribosomal RNA". It matches the Rfam family "Eukaryotic small subunit ribosomal RNA", at positions 592 to 976 of the family's 1831-position model. The record is from RNAcentral.
CAAUAGCGUAUAUUAAAGUUGUUGCAGUUAAAAAGCUCGUAGUUGGAUUUGUGGCGUACGGUGUGUUCCGGGCACUUGUUGUCUGAGUAACCUGCUGUUGCCAUCCUUGGGUGGAACCUGUGUGGCAUUAGGUUGUCGUGCAGGGGAUGCCCAUCAUUUACUGUGAAAAAAUUAGAGUGUUCAAAGCAGGCUUAUGCCGUUGAAUAUAUUAGCAUGGAAUAAUGAGAUAGGACUUUUUUGCUAUUUUGUUGGUUUGCGCAAAGAGGUAAUGAUUAAUAGGUACAGUUGGGGGUAUUCGUAUUCCAUUGUCAGAGGUGAAAUUCUUGGAUUUUUGGAAGACGAACUACUGCGAAAGCAUUUACCAAGGAUGUUUUCAUUAA